AGCGGAGGAAAAGAAACCAACAGGGAUUGCCUCAGUAACGGCGAGUGAAGCGGCAAGAGCUCAAAUUUGAAAGCUGGCCCCUUCGGGGUCCGCGUUGUAAUUUGCAGAGGAUGCUUCGGGUGCAGCCCCCGUCUAAGUGCCCUGGAACGGGCCGUCAUAGAGGGUGAGAAUCCCGUCUGGGACGGGGUGUCUGCGUCCGUGUGAAGCUCCUUCGACGAGUCGAGUUGUUUGGGAAUGCAGCUCUAAAUGGGUGGUAAAUUUCAUCUAAAGCUAAAUACUGGCCGGAGACCGAUAGCGCACAAGUAGAGUGAUCGAAAGAUGAAAAGCACUUUGAAAAGAGAGUUAAACAGCACGUGAAAUUGUUGAAAGGGAAGCGUUUGCGACCAGACUCGCCCGCGGGGUUCAGCCGGCAUUCGUGCCGGUGUACUUCCCCGUGGGCGGGCCAGCGUCGGUUUGGGCGGCCGGUCAAAGGCCCUCGGAAUGUAUCACCUCUCGGGGUGUCUUAUAGCCGAGGGUGCAAUGCGGCCUGCCUGGACCGAGGAACGCGCUUCGGCU
This 555-nucleotide ribosomal RNA is filed under the name Aspergillus fumigatus. RNAcentral describes it as "eukaryotic LSU rRNA". It matches the Rfam family "Eukaryotic large subunit ribosomal RNA", at positions 49 to 607 of the family's 3401-position model. Lineage: Eukaryota; Fungi; Ascomycota; Eurotiomycetes; Eurotiales; Aspergillaceae. The record is from RNAcentral.